GCGGAAGUAGCUCAGUGGUAGAGCAUCGCCUUGCCAAGGCGAGGGUCGCGAGUUCGAAUCUCGUUUUCCGCUCCA
Molecule: transfer RNA, 75 nt
Filed under: Sporomusa acidovorans
Lineage: Bacteria; Bacillati; Bacillota; Negativicutes; Selenomonadales; Sporomusaceae
Also listed under: 23 other names
Description: tRNA_Gly_GCC
Rfam family: tRNA
About the family: Transfer RNA (tRNA) molecules are approximately 80 nucleotides in length. Their secondary structure includes four short double-helical elements and three loops (D, anti-codon, and T loops). Further hydrogen bonds mediate the characteristic L-shaped molecular structure. tRNAs have two regions of fundamental functional importance: the anti-codon, which is responsible for specific mRNA codon recognition, and the 3' end, to which the tRNAs corresponding amino acid is attached (by aminoacyl-tRNA synthetases). tRNAs cope with the degeneracy of the genetic code in two manners: having more than one tRNA (with a specific anti-codon) for a particular amino acid; and 'wobble' base-pairing, i.e. permitting non-standard base-pairing at the 3rd anti-codon position.
Source: RNAcentral